Small nuclear RNA from Ochotona princeps (American pika), 104 nucleotides. The record is from RefSeq and is a predicted model, not a curated record. NCBI's taxonomy places the organism in Eukaryota, Metazoa, Chordata, Mammalia, Lagomorpha, Ochotonidae.
GUGCUCGCUUCGGCAGCACAUAUACUAAAAUUGGAACGAUACAGAGAUUAGCAUGGCCCCUGCGCAAGGAUGCCACUGCAUGUAGUUCAUGCAGACAAAUGCAG